This 380-nucleotide ribosomal RNA is filed under the name uncultured eukaryote. RNAcentral's name for it is "partial 18S ribosomal RNA". It matches the Rfam family "Eukaryotic small subunit ribosomal RNA", at positions 592 to 976 of the family's 1831-position model. The record is from RNAcentral.
CAAUAGCGUAUAUUAAAGUUGUUGCGGUUAAAAAGCUCGUAGUUGGAGUUCUGCCAGGUGCCGCCUGUCCGCCCCAGUGGUGAGUACGUGGCGCGCAUUUGGCCCUUUCAAGGGGAGCGUAUCUGCACUUUAUUGUGUGGUGCGGGAUCCUUGACUUUUACUUUGAGGAAAUAGGAGUGUUCCAAGCAGGCUCUCGUCGUGCACAGCUCAGCAUGGAACAAUAGCAUUGGACCUCGAUUCUAAGCUGUUGGUUGCCAGAAGCGAGGUAAUGAUGAAGAGGGAUAGUUGGGGGCAUUCGUAUUUAACUGUCGGAGGUGAAAUUCUUGGAUUUGUUAAAGACGGACUACUGCGAAAGCAUCUGCCAUGGAUGUUUUCAUUGA